Podarcis lilfordi (Lilford's wall lizard) is the source of this 71-nucleotide non-coding RNA. Lineage: Eukaryota; Metazoa; Chordata; Lepidosauria; Squamata; Lacertidae. The record is from the annotation of a GenBank genome assembly.
GGCUGGAUAGCUCAGUCGGUAGAGCAUGAGGCUUGAUCCUAGGGUCAUGGAUUAGAGCCCCACAUUAGCUG